UCUGCAUAUACUUCAAAGCCUAGCUUAUUGAUCUCCAAGCCAGUUAAUUGCCGAAACCAAUUUUUCUUUGGAUCUUCUGGCUUCUUUUCUAGAGGUAAAUGAAGCCCUAAACCUCUCUGUUGCUUAAUCCUGUAAAAUGGUUUCCAUUCACGCACUUUAUCCAAGUUUAUUUCACGUUGUAGAUGUAAAGCUGCAAGACAAAAAAUUACCAAAAUGAGAUUAUACAGUCAUCCUAAAUUGGAAAAAAAAUGCAUGCACAUGUGAACAAGACAAGUACUUCCCAG
This 284-nucleotide unclassified non-coding RNA is filed under the name Hevea brasiliensis (rubber tree). Lineage: Eukaryota; Viridiplantae; Streptophyta; Magnoliopsida; Malpighiales; Euphorbiaceae. The record is from RNAcentral.